This 350-nucleotide ribosomal RNA is filed under the name uncultured eukaryote. RNAcentral's name for it is "SSU rRNA". It matches the Rfam family "Eukaryotic small subunit ribosomal RNA", at positions 594 to 945 of the family's 1831-position model. The record is from RNAcentral.
AUAGCGUAUAUUAAAGUUGUUGCAGUUAAAAAGCUCGUAGUUGGAUCUCAGGAGUUGAGAGAAUGGUUCGCCUUUUCAGGUGUUACUGUUCUUUCUUCCUAUCUAGUCGGAGUCCGUCUUGGUGCUCUUCACUGAGCGCCUUGAUAGCCCGACAUGUUUACUUUGAACAAAUUAGAGUGCUUAAAGCAAGCCUUGCGCUUGUAUAGUCUUGCAUGGAAUAAUGGAAUAGGACUUUAGUUCUAUUUUGUUGGUUUACGGAAUCUAAAGUAAUGAUUAAAAGGGACAGGCGGGGGCAUUCGUAUUGUGGCGGGAGAGGUGAAAUUCGGAGAUCGCCGCAAGACGACCUACUG